Molecule: small RNA, 160 nt
Filed under: Chelonoidis abingdonii (Abingdon island giant tortoise)
Lineage: Eukaryota; Metazoa; Chordata; Testudines; Testudinidae
Description: TUC338 (ENSCABG00000006032.1)
Source: RNAcentral
CUGAUAUAACCGGAAACUGAAGUUGUCUAUCUACAGAGCACACAAAGCAUUGGUACAAGUUUCUCUACGUCUCGCAAACAUGUUCCAUCAUUCUGGAGGGAAGACUUCUAAGGCUGAAAGCGUAGUUCCAGUCUCCAUGCGCAUUCAGUUCUUGGCUACU